RNAcentral lists this ribosomal RNA (468 nucleotides) under uncultured bacterium. Its description in RNAcentral is "partial 16S ribosomal RNA". It matches the Rfam family "Bacterial small subunit ribosomal RNA", at positions 28 to 507 of the family's 1533-position model. The record is from RNAcentral.
GACGAACGCUGGCGGCGGGCUUAACACAUGCAAGUCGAACGGAAAGGUCCUGCUUAUGUGGGGUGGUCGAGUGGCGAACGGGUGAGUAACACGUGAGUAACCUGCCACUGACUUUGGGAUAACUUCAGGAAACUGGGGCUCAUACCGGAUAGGAGCUCCUGCUGCAUGGUGGGGGUUGGAAAGUUUCGGCGGUUGGGGAUGGACUCGCGGCUUAUCAGCUUGGUUGGGUGGUAGUGGCUUACCAAGGCUUUGACGGGUAGCCGGGCUGAGAUGGUGAGAUGCCACGUUGGGACGGGAAUACGGCCCAGACUCCUACGGGACGCAGCAGUGGGGAAUAUUGCACAAUGGGCGGAGGCCUGAUGCAGCACCGCCGCGUGCGGGAUGACGGCAUUCGGGUUGUAUACCGCUUUCGCCUGUGACGAAGCGUGAGUGACGGUAAUGGGUAAAGAAGCACCGGCUAACUACGUG